UGCAAGUCGAUCGGUAACGCGGGGGCAACCCUGGCGACGAGAGGCGGACGGGUGAGGAACGCUUGGGAAUCUGCCCAUCAGCGGGGGACAACCCGGGGAAACUCGGGCUAAUACCGCAUACGCUCUAUGGAGGAAAGCCGGGGACCGCAAGGCCUGGCACUGAUGGAUGAGCCCAAGUCGGAUUAGCUAGUUGGCGGGGUAACGGCCCACCAAGGCGACGAUCCGUAGCUGGUCUGAGAGGACGAUCAGCCACACUGGGACUGAGACACGGCCCAGACUCCUACGGGAGGCAGCAGUGGGGAAUAUUGGACAAUGGGGGAAACCCUGAUCCAGCGACGCCGCGUGGGUGAAGAAGGCCUGCGGGUUGUAAAGCCCUUUCGGUAGGGACGAAAGCUCUCGACCUAACACGUCGAGAGGAUGACUUAACCUACAAAAGAAGCACCGGCUAACUCUGUGCCAGCAGCCGCGGUAAUACAGAGGGUGCGAGCGUUAAUCGGAAUUACUGGGCGUAAAGCGCACGUAGGCGGCUUGGUAUGUCGGGUGUGAAAUCCCCGGGCUCAACCUGGGAACUGCAUCCGAAACUGCCUUGCUAGAGUAUGGGAGAGGGAAGUGGAAUUUCCGGUGUAGCGGUGAAAUGCGUAGAUAUCGGAAGGAACAUCAGUGGCGAAGGCGACUUCCUGGACCAAUACUGACGCUCAGG
Molecule: ribosomal RNA, 700 nt
Filed under: uncultured bacterium
Lineage: Bacteria
Description: bacterial SSU rRNA
Rfam family: Bacterial small subunit ribosomal RNA
Source: RNAcentral